This 406-nucleotide ribosomal RNA is filed under the name uncultured bacterium. Its description in RNAcentral is "partial 16S ribosomal RNA". It matches the Rfam family "Bacterial small subunit ribosomal RNA", at positions 29 to 526 of the family's 1533-position model. The record is from RNAcentral.
AUUGAACGCUGGCGGCAGGCCUAACACAUGCAAGUCGAGCGAGAGGCGGACGGGUGAGUAAGGGAGGGGGAUCUGCCCGAUAGAGGGGGAUAAGGACGGGAAACGGUGGAUAAAACCGCAUACGAUGGGAUGAAGCGAUAUGGGAGUAGCUAGUAGGUUGGGUAAAGGCUCACCGAGGCGACGAUCUCUAGCUGGUCUGAGAGGAUGAUCAGCCACACUGGGACUGAGACACGGCCCAGACUCCUACGGGAGGCAGCAGUGGGGAAUAUUGCACAAUGGGCGCAAGCCUGAUACAGCCACGCCGCGUGUAUGAAGAAGGCUUUAGGGUUGUAAAGUACUUUUAGCGGGGAGGCGUUACCCGCAGAAGAAGCACCGGCUAACUCCGUGCCAGCCGCCGCGGUAAUUC